This 749-nucleotide unclassified non-coding RNA is filed under the name Hevea brasiliensis (rubber tree). The record is from RNAcentral. Lineage: Eukaryota; Viridiplantae; Streptophyta; Magnoliopsida; Malpighiales; Euphorbiaceae.
UCACAUUUAGUGGUAUCAGAGCAUCGGUUUAGGCAUUUCUAGGCCUAGAUAGAGUACAUACCAUUGCAUUGCAUUUGUAAGUGUUGAGGUGACACUGAUGCAGAUUUGUUUGUUUUCUUAUUUUGAAUAGGAUAUGAAUCCUGCUUCGCAAAGAGCAGUUGAGGAAGAGGUGGAGAGUCGUGCUCUAUCACGGGCUGAAUCUGGGGGCAAGGUAGAAUCUGCUCCACCAGCAGCUGAGGCACCUGCCCAACCUCAGUUUGCUCUAUUACAACAAAUGACUAAAUUCUACCGGCAAAUGAUGGGGGCAAUUCUACUACCACAACCACAGCCACAACCACCACCAGCACCACAGAAAUCUCAUUUGGAGAAAUUGAGAAAGCAUGGGGCUGUGGACUUCUUUGGGAAGAGGGAGGAUGAUCCCAUGGCCGCAGAAAACUGGUAGGAUAGAACCAUCAGAGUGCUGAAACAGCUAAAUUGCACCCCCGAGCAGAACCUGGUGGGUGCUGUGUCCCUACUUCAGGAUGAUGCAUAUCAGUGGUGGGACACAGUAACCAGUGAGGUGCAACCUGAACGGAUCACCUGAGAAUUCUUCCUCACAGAGUUCAGGGAGAAAUAUAUUAGCAAAGUGUAUUUAGAAGAGCGAAGAAGGGAAUUUAUCAGUUUGAGACAGAGACAGUUGUCAGUGGCUGAGUAUGAGCGUGAGUUAGUCAGACUAAGCCGGUAUGGGAGGGAGAUAGUUGUCAGUGGCU